CAGAGUUUGACAUGGCUCAGGACGAACGCUGGCGGCGUGCCUAACACAUGCAAGUCGAGCGGAGACAGUGAGUAGCUUGCUAUGAGCUGUUUUAGCGGCGGACGGGUGAGUAACGCGUGAGCAACCUUUCCCAGACAGGGGGAAUAACACACCGAAAGGUGUACUAAUACCGCAUAAGACCACGGGAUCACAUGGUUCUGGGGUAAAAGAUUAUCGGUUGGGGUGGGCUCGCGUCCGAUUAGGUAGUUGGUGAGGUAACGG
This 261-nucleotide ribosomal RNA is filed under the name uncultured bacterium. RNAcentral's name for it is "partial 16S ribosomal RNA". It matches the Rfam family "Bacterial small subunit ribosomal RNA", at positions 8 to 263 of the family's 1533-position model. The record is from RNAcentral.